GAUGAAGAACGUAGCGAAAUGCGAUAAGUAAUGUGAAUUGCAGAAUUCCGUGAAUCAUCGAAUCUUUGAACGCACAUUGCGCCCCCUGGCAUUCCGGGGGGCAUGCCUGUCCGAGCGUCAUUGCUGCCCUCAAGCACGGCUUGUGUGUUGGGCCUCCGUCCUCCUCCCGGGGGACGGGCCCGAAAGGCAGCGGCGGCACCGCGUCCGGUCCUCGAGCGUAUGGGGCUUCGUCACCCGCUCUUGUAGGCCCGGCCGGCGCUUGCCGACACAUCAAUCUUUUUUCCAGGUUGACCUCGGAUCAGGUAGGGAUACCCGCUGAACUUAAGCAUAUCAAUAAGCGGAGGA
RNAcentral lists this unclassified non-coding RNA (345 nucleotides) under soil metagenome. RNAcentral's name for it is "partial contains 5.8S ribosomal RNA, internal transcribed spacer 2, and large subunit ribosomal RNA". The stretch from base 1 to 120 matches the Rfam family "5.8S ribosomal RNA", at positions 35 to 154 of the family's 154-position model. The record is from RNAcentral.